GCGGCCCAGCGCGAGUCUGGAGAAGCUCGAAUUUGGUAGUGGCGAUGUAUGCCGUCUGGCGCGAGUAAGCCUCCGGCAGUUGCAGUGGUGGGAUGAGAGGAACAUUAUCUCGCCGCACCAGCAGGGCCACCGGCGUAUGCAUCUCGUUUCAGAGGUCAUCGGGAUGAUGGUCAUUGCCGAGCUGCGGCGCAAGGGAUUCUCGCUUCAGAAGAUCCGGUCGAUUCUGCGGUCCGUGCAGC
RNAcentral lists this unclassified non-coding RNA (239 nucleotides) under plant metagenome. Its description in RNAcentral is "partial contains 5.8S ribosomal RNA, internal transcribed spacer 2, and large subunit ribosomal RNA". The record is from RNAcentral.